Molecule: ribosomal RNA, 793 nt
Filed under: uncultured Hyphomicrobiales bacterium
Lineage: Bacteria; Pseudomonadati; Pseudomonadota; Alphaproteobacteria; Hyphomicrobiales
Description: bacterial SSU rRNA
Rfam family: Bacterial small subunit ribosomal RNA
Source: RNAcentral
UGGGCGUAAAGCGUGCGCAGGCGGUUUGCUAAGACAGAUGUGAAAUCCCCGGGCUUAACCUGGGAACUGCGUUUGUAACUGGCAGACUGGAGUGUGGCAGAGGGGGGUGGAAUUCCAAGUGUAGCAGUGAAAUGCGUAGAUAUUUGGAGGAACACCGAUGGCGAAGGCAGCCCCCUGGGCUAACACUGACGCUCAUGCACGAAAGCGUGGGGAGCAAACAGGAUUAGAUACCCUGGUAGUCCACGCCCUAAACUAUGUCAACUGGUUGUCGGGGAAGCAAUUCCGUGGUAACGAAGCUAACGCGUGAAGUUGACCGGCUGGGGAGUACGGCCGCAAGCUUCAAACUCAAAGGAAUUGACGGGGGCCCGCACAAGCGGUGGAGCAUGUGGUUCAAUUCGAAGCAACGCGCAGAACCUUACCAGCCCUUGACAUGUCCCGUAUGAGCACCGGAGACGGAGCUCUUCAGUUCGGCUGGCGGGAACACAGGUGCUGCAUGGCUGUCGUCAGCUCGUGCCGUGAGAUGUUGGGUUAAGUCCCGCAACGAGCGCAACCUUCGCCCUUAGUUGCCAUCAUUCAGUUGGGCACUCUAAGGGGACUGCCGGUGAUAAGCCGGAGGAAGGUGGGGAUGACGUCAAGUCCUCAUGGCCCUUACGGGCUGGGCUACACACGUGCUACAAUGGCGGUGACAGUGGGAUGCAAUGGAGCGAUCCUGCGCAAAUCUCAAAAAGCCGUCUCAGUUCGGAUUGUGCUCUGCAACUCGAGCACAUGAAGUUGGAAUCGCUAGUAAUCGCAG